This 462-nucleotide ribosomal RNA is filed under the name Nocardia rhamnosiphila. RNAcentral's name for it is "bacterial SSU rRNA". It matches the Rfam family "Bacterial small subunit ribosomal RNA", at positions 28 to 507 of the family's 1533-position model. The record is from RNAcentral. RNAcentral also lists the same sequence under 1 other name. Lineage: Bacteria; Bacillati; Actinomycetota; Actinomycetes; Mycobacteriales; Nocardiaceae.
GACGAACGCUGGCGGCGUGCUUAACACAUGCAAGUCGAGCGGUAAGGCCCUUCGGGGUACACGAGCGGCGAACGGGUGAGUAACACGUGGGUGAUCUGCCUUGCACUCUGGGAUAAGCCUGGGAAACUGGGUCUAAUACCGGAUAUGACCUUUGGUUGCAUGAUCAGGGGUGGAAAGAUUUAUCGGUGCAAGAUGAGCCCGCGGCCUAUCAGCUUGUUGGUGGGGUAAUGGCCUACCAAGGCGACGACGGGUAGCCGGCCUGAGAGGGCGACCGGCCACACUGGGACUGAGACACGGCCCAGACUCCUACGGGAGGCAGCAGUGGGGAAUAUUGCACAAUGGGCGGAAGCCUGAUGCAGCGACGCCGCGUGAGGGAUGACGGCCUUCGGGUUGUAAACCUCUUUCGACUCCGACGAAGCGAAAGUGACGGUAGGAGUAUAAGAAGCACCGGCCAACUACGUG